This 492-nucleotide ribosomal RNA is filed under the name uncultured bacterium. RNAcentral describes it as "partial 16S ribosomal RNA". It matches the Rfam family "Bacterial small subunit ribosomal RNA", at positions 29 to 507 of the family's 1533-position model. The record is from RNAcentral.
AGUGAACGCUGGCGGUAGGCCUAACACAUGCAAGUCGAACGGCAGCACAGUAAGAGCUUGCUCUUACGGGUGGCGAGUGGCGGACGGGUGAGGAAUACAUCGGAAUCUACUUUUUCGUGGGGGAUAACGUAGGGAAACUUACGCUAAUACCGCAUACGACCUACGGGUGAAAGCAGGGGAUCUUCGGACCUUGCGCGAUUGAAUGAGCCGAUGUCGGAUUAGCUAGUUGGCGGGGUAAAGGCCCACCACGGCGACGAUCCGUAGCUGGUCUGAGAGGAUGAUCAGCCACACUGGAACUGAGACACGGUCCAGACUCCUACGGGAGGCAGCAGUGGGGAAUAUUGGACAAUGGGCGCAAGCCUUAUCCAGCCAUACCGCGUGGGUGAAGAAGGCCUUCGGGUUGUAAAGCCCUUUUGUUGGGAAAGAAAAGCAGCAGGUUAAUACCCCGCUGUUCUGACGGUACCCAAAGAAUAAGCACCGGCUAACUUCGUG